RNAcentral lists this small nuclear RNA (123 nucleotides) under Mesocricetus auratus (golden hamster). Its description in RNAcentral is "U1 spliceosomal RNA (ENSMAUG00000002512.1)". It matches the Rfam family "U1 spliceosomal RNA". Rfam says of the family: U1 is a small nuclear RNA (snRNA) component of the spliceosome (involved in pre-mRNA splicing). Its 5' end forms complementary base pairs with the 5' splice junction, thus defining the 5' donor site of an intron. There are significant differences in sequence and secondary structure between metazoan and yeast U1 snRNAs, the latter being much longer (568 nucleotides as compared to 164 nucleotides in human). The record is from RNAcentral. Lineage: Eukaryota; Metazoa; Chordata; Mammalia; Rodentia; Cricetidae.
GUACUUACCUGAGAGGGGAGAGACCAUCAUGGUGAAGGUGGUUUUCCCACCUGUGACUUCUCCAAAUGUGGAAAACUCGACUGUGCAAUUGUUAUAGUGAGCAACUGUAUCCAAACUCUCUCC